GAUGAAGAACGCAGCGAAAUGCGAUAAGUAGUGUGAAUUGCAGAAUUCAGUGAAUCAUCGAAUCUUUGAACGCACAUUGCGCCCGGUAGUAUUCUGCCGGGCAUGCCUGUUCGAGCGUCAUUUCAACCAUCAAGCCCCAGCGCUUGUGUUGGGGGCCUGCGGCUGCCGCAGCCCCCUAAAAGCAGUGGCGGGCUCGCUAUCACACCGAGUGCAGUAGUUCAUCUUCUCUCCGGUCUUGUGAGGCGGGUUCCGGCCGUGAAACACCCCACUACAUUCAAGGUUGACCUCGGAUCAGGUAGGAAUACCCGCUGAACUUAAGCAUAUCAUAAGCGGAGGA
Molecule: unclassified non-coding RNA, 337 nt
Filed under: soil metagenome
Description: partial contains 5.8S ribosomal RNA, internal transcribed spacer 2, and large subunit ribosomal RNA
Rfam family: 5.8S ribosomal RNA (bases 1-120)
Source: RNAcentral